UGGGGAAUAUUGCACAAUGGGCGCAAGCCUGAUGCAGCCAUGCCGCGUGUGUGAAGAAGGCCUUCGGGUUGUAAAGCACUUUCAGCGAGGAGGAAGGGUUCAGUGUUAAUAGCACUGUUCAUUGACGUUACUCGCAGAAGAAGCACCGGCUAACUCCGUGCCAGCAGCCGCGGUAAUACGGAGGGUGCAAGCGUUAAUCGGAAUUACUGGGCGUAAAGCGCACGCAGGCGGUUUGUUAAGUCAGAUGUGAA
This 251-nucleotide ribosomal RNA is filed under the name uncultured bacterium. RNAcentral describes it as "partial 16S ribosomal RNA". It matches the Rfam family "Bacterial small subunit ribosomal RNA", at positions 355 to 598 of the family's 1533-position model. The record is from RNAcentral.